Molecule: long non-coding RNA, 230 nt
Filed under: Capsicum annuum
Lineage: Eukaryota; Viridiplantae; Streptophyta; Magnoliopsida; Solanales; Solanaceae
Description: long non-coding RNA (CANN_LNC008017)
Source: RNAcentral
CUUCGAAAUGACUCUCUACUUAUGAUCUAGAUACUUGAUAUAGGAAGUACUUUAUGAUGGUAUCAUAUCUUUACCUCGUGUCCCACUUUGAUAUAGGCUAAUAGGUAUGGGCUAUAAUUAAAUAGUUUUUCUCUCAUUAAUGAUGAAUAUGCUCGGGUCCCUUAAUGACCCUCAAUAUAUUAGUGCGAUGGUGGAUGUGUAAGCAUAGUAAUAUGGUUAGUAUUCAUCAA